Molecule: unclassified non-coding RNA, 221 nt
Filed under: Cystofilobasidium macerans
Lineage: Eukaryota; Fungi; Basidiomycota; Tremellomycetes; Cystofilobasidiales; Cystofilobasidiaceae
Also listed under: 4 other names
Description: partial internal transcribed spacer region
Rfam family: Eukaryotic small subunit ribosomal RNA (bases 1-46)
Source: RNAcentral
AAGUCGUAACAAGGUUUCCGUAGGUGAACCUGCGGAAGGAUCACUAAAGUAAACGCCCUCCGGGGCUCUCUUUAUUCACACACCCCUGUGCACUUUGGCCACCUGCCGCGCUUAACUGCGUUAGUAGGUGUGUCUCUUUAUUUAUACCCAUAUACACAAGUCAUUGAAUGUAAAAUCGUUAUAAACUAAUAUAACUUUCAACAACGGAUCUCUUGGUUCUC